Molecule: ribosomal RNA, 334 nt
Filed under: uncultured soil bacterium
Lineage: Bacteria
Description: bacterial SSU rRNA
Rfam family: Bacterial small subunit ribosomal RNA
Source: RNAcentral
AGAUUGAACGCUGGCGGCAUGCCUAACACAUGCAAGUCGAACGGGAGUAGCAAUACUCUAGUGGCGGACGGGUGAGGAAUACGUAGGAAUUUGCCCUUAAGUGGGGGAUAACCCGGGGAAACCCGGAUUAAUACCGCAUGACCUCGAAAGAGCAAAGUGGGGGAUCGCAAGACCUCACGCUUUUGGAGAAGCCUACGUCGGAUUAGCUAGUUGGUGAGGUAAUGGCUCACCAAGGCGACGAUCCGUAACUGGUCUGAGAGGAUGAUCAGUCACACGGAACUGAGACACGGUCCGGACUCCUACGGGAGGCAGCAGGUGGGGAAUAUUGGACAAU